Molecule: ribosomal RNA, 254 nt
Filed under: uncultured bacterium
Lineage: Bacteria
Description: partial 16S ribosomal RNA
Rfam family: Bacterial small subunit ribosomal RNA
Source: RNAcentral
GACGGAAGGUGCAAGCGUUGCUCGGAAUCACUGGGCGUAAAGGGCGCGUAGGCGGCCACCGCAAGUCGACUGUGAAAUCUCCGGGCUUAACCCGGAAAGGUCAGCCGAUACUGCGGGGCUAGAGUGCAGAAGGGGCAACUGGAAUUCUCGGUGUAGCGGUGAAAUGCGUAGAUAUCGAGAGGAACACCUGCGGCGAAGGCGGGUUGCUGGGCUGACACUGACGCUGAAGCGCGAAAGCUAGGGGAGCGAACGGG